CUCCCAGCUCCCCUUAUCACAUCAAUCAAAACUUACCCUGUGUCUCAUUUUUUUAAUGAAAUAACCUUGGGCUAUAAUGGGUUAAUUAGUUAAUCAAAUCUAUUCUAAUUCACUAAUUGGCUCAUAUGUCAUCUGUUUGAGAAAAUCGUAUAAAUAGCCACUUCUUGGCUGUUUGCAACUGCUGAGUCAUUUAGUAUCUCAGGACCUCCAUUUUCUUACAUUAAAAUAACGGUGGGGGGGAAUUAAUGUCUAAGAAAGGGGUGAUAUUUGAGUUGAGUCUUGGCGUAAAAUGGAAUGGAAGAGCUGCAGCGUGCUAUUUUUAAGAUAAGGCAAAAGAGGAGAGAGCGUGUUUAAAGGAAAUGAAUGUAGCAGCAAAAUCGCCUGAUAGACUUCUAGCUGAGCAUAAUUAUUGCUGCAUCCUCAAGGGAUAAAAAAGAGCCAUGCAAAAUGUCCCAGAGGGGCUUGGACUUCCUGUUAUGUUUAUUAAUCAUCUUGAUGAAAAUGGAAAGUCUACAUUGAUUAAAUUCACUAAUGAUCCUAAACUGAGCGAGGAGUAAAUUCCAGAAAGGAUGGAUUUAUAAGGUCUUAAUCAACUGAUCUCCAAGCCACAGGAAGCCAGUGGCCUCCCAUAAUACUCUUGUCUAAUAGUGCUGAAGAAGAAGAGACCCUUUCUGGAAGCUACAAGGAUUACUACUCCAAAUGGAGUCAAAUGCUUGAAUCUCUUCCCCACUCAGCUCAUUGCAAGACUCACCCACCAUCUCCCUUUACUACUCAAGUUGUACCAGGCCCAGAAUAAACCUGACCACUGAGAGAACAUUUCCCUGGACCUUCCACCAAGCCUUGCCUCUUCCCAGUAGAUAAGAAGAUUAGGCACAAAGGAAUGAUCAGCUUGUCCGAGGUCACUCAGUCAGCGGUGGAGCCAGGAUCCAAAUCCAGGCAGUCUGGCCCCACAGCCCAUAAUAACCACCCACCAUUGAAAUCUGGAAUCUCCAUAACUAAGUAUGCCAUGUGAGAGCGCCUGGUGAGUUUCAUGAAUAGAACUAUCUGGGAUGAGGGAGAGUGUCUUCUCUAUUGAGAACUGAGCAGAUGAAACCAUGAAUAUAAUUUCUAGAGCUGAGAAUUGCACACUGAGAGAUAUUUGAGCUGCAAAACUUCCAGGAGAUGGGCCAGAACAGUGAGAAAUGCAGAGAGAGAGAUAUUAGCCUGGAGAAGAAGGGCUUCUGGAUGGGAAACCUGCUGCCUGUGAACAGCUAAGAGAGGCCAUUCGUUAGGGAAAGGACUCAAACCGGCUGGGGUGGCACUAGUCCAUCACAGGACCCAAGGGCAGAAAUUUCACAAAACCUGUCAGAACUCAUGAAAGAUUAAAUGGUCUCUUUUAAGCAGCUAGUUCACUUUUCCUGGUGCAGUGAUUCUCAACUGGGGGAAAUUUUACCCCCUGAGGGGCAUUUGGCAAAGUCUGAGACUUUUUAAAA
Chlorocebus sabaeus (green monkey) is the source of this 1472-nucleotide non-coding RNA. The record is from RefSeq and is a predicted model, not a curated record. Lineage: Eukaryota; Metazoa; Chordata; Mammalia; Primates; Cercopithecidae.